AGAGUUUGAUCCUGGCUCAGGAUGAACGCUGGCGGCGUGCCUAAUACAUGCAAGUCGAGCGAACGGACGAGAAGCUUGCUUCUCUGAUGUUAGCGGCGGACGGGUGAGUAACACGUGGAUAACCUACCUAUAAGACUGGGAUAACUUCGGGAAACCGGAGCUAAUACCGGAUAAUAUUUUGAACCGCAUGGUUCAAAAGUGAAAGACGGUCUUGCUGUCACUUAUAGAUGGAUCCGCGCUGCAUUAGCUAGUUGGUAAGGUAACGGCUUACCAAGGCAACGAUGCAUAGCCGACCUGAGAGGGUGAUCGGCCACACUGGAACUGAGACACGGUCCAGACUCCUACGGGAGGCAGCAGUAGGGAAUCUUCCGCAAUGGGCGAAAGCCUGACGGAGCAACGCCGCGUGAGUGAUGAAGGUCUUCGGAUCGUAAAACUCUGUUAUUAGGGAAGAACAUAUGUGUAAGUAACUGUGCACAUCUUGACGGUACCUAAUCAGAAAGCCACGGCUAACUACGUGCCAGCAGCCGCGGUAAUACGUAGGUGGCAAGCGUUAUCCGGAAUUAUUGGGCGUAAAGCGCGCGUAGGCGGUUUUUUAAGUCUGAUGUGAAAGCCCACGGCUCAACCGUGGAGGGUCAUUGGAAACUGGAAAACUUGAGUGCAGAAGAGGAAAGUGGAAUUCCAUGUGUAGCGGUGAAAUGCGCAGAGAUAUGGAGGAACACCAGUGGCGAAGGCGACUUUCUGGUCUGUAACUGACGCUGAUGUGCGAAAGCGUGGGGAUCAAACAGGAUUAGAUACCCUGGUAGUCCACGCCGUAAACGAUGAGUGCUAAGUGUUAGGGGGUUUCCGCCCCUUAGUGCUGCAGCUAACGCAUUAAGCACUCCGCCUGGGGAGUACGACCGCAAGGUUGAAACUCAAAGGAAUUGACGGGGACCCGCACAAGCGGUGGAGCAUGUGGUUUAAUUCGAAGCAACGCGAAGAACCUUACCAAAUCUUGACAUCCUUUGACAACUCUAGAGAUAGAGCCUUCCCCUUCGGGGGACAAAGUGACAGGUGGUGCAUGGUUGUCGUCAGCUCGUGUCGUGAGAUGUUGGGUUAAGUCCCGCAACGAGCGCAACCCUUAAGCUUAGUUGCCAUCAUUAAGUUGGGCACUCUAAGUUGACUGCCGGUGACAAACCGGAGGAAGGUGGGGAUGACGUCAAAUCAUCAUGCCCCUUAUGAUUUGGGCUACACACGUGCUACAAUGGACAAUACAAAGGGCAGCGAAACCGCGAGGUCAAGCAAAUCCCAUAA
This 1290-nucleotide ribosomal RNA is filed under the name Staphylococcus aureus 1111206270. RNAcentral describes it as "bacterial SSU rRNA". It matches the Rfam family "Bacterial small subunit ribosomal RNA", at positions 8 to 1279 of the family's 1533-position model. Lineage: Bacteria; Bacillati; Bacillota; Bacilli; Caryophanales; Staphylococcaceae. RNAcentral also lists the same sequence under 1 other name. The record is from RNAcentral.